This 253-nucleotide ribosomal RNA is filed under the name bacterium. RNAcentral's name for it is "partial 16S ribosomal RNA". It matches the Rfam family "Bacterial small subunit ribosomal RNA", at positions 524 to 776 of the family's 1533-position model. RNAcentral also lists the same sequence under 1 other name. The record is from RNAcentral.
UACGUAGGGUGCAAGCGUUAAUCGGAAUUACUGGGCGUAAAGCGUGCGCAGGUGGUUCGUUAAGACAGUUGUGAAAUCCCCGGGCUUAACCUGGGAACUGCAAUUGUGACUGGCGGACUAGAGUUUGGCAGAGGGGGGUGGAAUUCCUGGUGUAGCAGUGAAAUGCGUAGAUAUCAGGAGGAACACCGAUGGCGAAGGCAGCCCCCUGGGCCAUGACUGACACUCAUGCACGAAAGCGUGGGGAGCAAACAGG